Molecule: ribosomal RNA, 450 nt
Filed under: uncultured bacterium
Lineage: Bacteria
Description: bacterial SSU rRNA
Rfam family: Bacterial small subunit ribosomal RNA
Source: RNAcentral
CGGUACCUGCAGAAGAAGCCCCGGCUAACUACGUGCCAGCAGCCGCGGUAACACGUAGGGGGCAAGCGUUGUCCGGAUUUAUUGGGCGUAAAAGAGCUCGUAGGUGGCUAAGUAAGUCGGGUGUCAAAUCCCCAGGCUCAACCUGGGUCUCCACCCGAUACUGCUUUGGCUAGAGUCCGGUAGGGGAGCGUGGAAUUCCUGGUGUAGCGGUGAAAUGCGCAGAUAUCAGGAGGAACACCAGCGGCGAAGGCGGCGCUCUGGGCCGGUACUGACACUGAGGAGCGAAAGCGUGGGUAGCAAACAGGAUUAGAUACCCUGGUAGUCCACGCCGUAAACGUUGGGCACUAGGUGUGGGGUCUAUUCAACGGACUCCGUGCCGUCGCUAACGCAUUAAGUGCCCCGCCUGGGGAGUACGGCCGCAAGGCUAAAACUCAAAGGAAUUGACGGGGG